GCCGAUAUAGCUCAGUUUGGUAGAGCAACUGAUUCGUAAUCAGUAGGUCAGCGGUUCAAGUCCGCUUAUCGGCUCCA
RNAcentral lists this transfer RNA (77 nucleotides) under Desulfobulbus sp. RNAcentral's name for it is "tRNA-Thr". It matches the Rfam family "tRNA". From Rfam's summary of the family: Transfer RNA (tRNA) molecules are approximately 80 nucleotides in length. Their secondary structure includes four short double-helical elements and three loops (D, anti-codon, and T loops). The record is from RNAcentral. RNAcentral also lists the same sequence under 1 other name. Lineage: Bacteria; Pseudomonadati; Thermodesulfobacteriota; Desulfobulbia; Desulfobulbales; Desulfobulbaceae.